This 917-nucleotide unclassified non-coding RNA is filed under the name Hevea brasiliensis (rubber tree). The record is from RNAcentral. Lineage: Eukaryota; Viridiplantae; Streptophyta; Magnoliopsida; Malpighiales; Euphorbiaceae.
CUUAUUGCUAGUGCAAUUGUAUCCCAGUGGACUUGGGCUGCUACAAUUUUGCAAAGCUCUAAUGUUGCUUGGCAGUAUGGAGUCAGUGGACCUUUUUGGUAUGCUAGUGGGGCUACUAUCCAGGUACUCUUGUUUGGUAUAAUGGCUAUAGAGAUCAAAAGGAAAGCUCCUCAUGCACAUACUAUCUGUGAAAUUGUAAAAGCUCGUUGGGGGAUUUCUGCACAUGUUGUGUUCCUCAUUUUUUGCUUAUUAACAAACAUUAUUGUAACGGCUAUGCUGCUUCUUGGUGGUUCUGCUGUUGUAAAUGCACUUACUGGAGUGAAUAUUUACGCAGCUAGCUUUCUAAUUCCACUCGGAGUAAUUGUCUAUACUCUAGCUGGAGGGCUAAAAGCAACCUUCUUGGCAAGUUAUAUACAUUCUGUUAUAGUGCAUGCGNNNNNNNNNNNNNACCUAGUUUACACAGCAAGCAGUGAGCUGGGAAGUCCCAGUCUUAUAUAUAACCGUCUGGCGGAGGUGGCUAGUAAGUCAAGACUGUGUCAAGAACCGAUUUCACAUGAUGGGCAAUCCUGUGGUCCUGUCAGUGGAAAUUACAAGGGUUCUUACUUAACAAUGUUGAGUUCAGGUGGUCUGGUUUUUGGAAUUAUAAACAUUGCUGGAAACUUCGGUACGGUUUUUGUUGACAAUGGAUAUUGGGUGAGUGCCAUCGCCGCCAGACCUUCAUCAACGCAUAAGGGGUAUUUGUUGGGUGGCCUUGUGUGGUUUGCUGUACCAUUCUCUUUGGCAACAUCUCUGGGUCUAGGGGCACUUGCCCUUGAUUUACCAAUAUCAGAAAGUGAGGCAAGCCAUGGACUUGUUCCUCCAGCUACUGCUAUAGCUUUGAUGGGGAAAGGAGGAUCAAUACUUCUUCUUACAAUGCU